Molecule: long non-coding RNA, 1274 nt
Organism: Cucumis sativus (cucumber)
Lineage: Eukaryota; Viridiplantae; Streptophyta; Magnoliopsida; Cucurbitales; Cucurbitaceae
Exons: 2
Source: RefSeq, a predicted model, not a curated record
CAGCAUAUAAAAAGGUUUAGAACAAGACAAGGUGAUGACUCCAAAAGCCACCAAAUUCAAUUCCAUUUUCAUCAUCAUUAUUAUUAUUAUUAUCAUUAUUUUAUUUUUAUGCUUUCUAUGACCUGUCUGUCAUCAUAUGUUUCCCACCAUCAAAUAAUAAUGCAUCAAUAAUCUUCUUUCUUCCACUUUUUUAUUUAUUUUCCUCAUGGCUUCCCUUCUUCUUUUACUUUCUCUCUCUCAAGCUCAAUUUUUUAGUAUAUUGGAAGGGUAUGCAAAAGAAAAAAAAAAAAAAAAAUCCUUUUUUAAGGACAAGGUUGUCCAUUCUUUCCUCUUCUUGUUGAGUCUUGCAAAUGAGAGAAAGAAAAGAGAGAUAGGAAAAGGGGUGUUUGGAAUGGAGUUUGCUCCGAAAUCUUCUUCUUUCUUUUCUUUUUUGUCAAUCCUUUUGAAAGGAGAAGAAAUAAAACUACAUGUCAAUGUCUUUUUCUUUCAUUAUUUUUCAAGUUUUCUUUCUUGCUUUCUUCAAAAUUGUUAUUCUAUGUUGUUUUUUUCCCUAACUAAAAGUAGUCUUCUUCUUCUUCGUAUUUGAAAAGUUUGUUGGUGUUGAUUGAACGGAAAAAAUGAUCUCGGACCAGGCUUCAUUCCUCACACGUACCUUUUCCUUUAGUAAAUUUUGGAUAUUGGAAAGAACAAAAUAGCUUUGCUCAACUUUUCUGUAGCAACUAUUUUGUCGUGGAUUUUGUGGCGGACUUUGAGUAUUGACGCCUCAAGUUUUAUCUUAUGGAUACCUCAUCACCGGCCAACCUCCACACACAAGGGCUUCCCUACUCGAUCUUCUAGCUUGCCAACAACCAAAACUUCAACGCAUAGGUCCCUCUCAACGCAAGCUCCUCUCAACCCUUCAUCAAAUAUUCAUUUCGACCAGCACUUAGCCACUUCAACGGCAAUGGCUUCUCACCCUACCACCUCUAAAACUCCCAAAAUUUGUAUCAGUGUAAGGCAUCACACCAAUCUACUCGAAUACUUUAUAUCCACAACUUCUCAACGUCAUUCUCAUACUCCUACAAUAACUACACCACACUACUGCUGCAUACCAAAUUUCAAUAUCUCUAAUAAGGAAUUUGCAAAAUCUGUCUUUGGCAUCUCAAAAUGGCUAGAAUAGGCAUAUCAGUGCAUGAUCUCAAAUGGGUAUAAAGGUUAGCAAUUUGCUUCCUUGUAUUGAGAAUAUAAUGCUUUUGGAAAGAGUUGAAUUAAAUCAAUUAUUUUAUAGACUGGAA